UACGAAGGGUGCAAGCGUUACUCGGAAUUACUGGGCGUAAAGCGUGCGCAGGCGGUUCGUUGUGUCGGCGGUGAAAGCCCCGGGCUUAACCUGGGAACGGCCGUUGAAACUGGCGAACUGGAGUGUGGCAGAGGGGGGUGGAAUUCCGCGUGUAGCAGUGAAAUGCGUAGAGAUGCGGAGGAACACCGAUGGCGAAGGCAGCCCCCUGGGCUAACACUGACGCUCAGGCACGAAAGCGUGGGGAGCAAACAGG
This 253-nucleotide ribosomal RNA is filed under the name uncultured bacterium. Its description in RNAcentral is "partial 16S ribosomal RNA". It matches the Rfam family "Bacterial small subunit ribosomal RNA", at positions 524 to 776 of the family's 1533-position model. The record is from RNAcentral.